UUUUGGACAAUGGGCGAAAGCCUGAUCCAGCAAUGCCGCGUGCAGGAAGAAGGCCUUCGGGUUGUAAACUGCUUUUGUACGGAACGAAACGGUCUGCCCUAAUACGGCGGGCUAAUGACGGUACCGUAAGAAUAAGCACCGGCUAACUACGUGCCAGCAGCCGCGGUAAUACGUAGGGUGCGAGCGUUAAUCGGAAUUACUGGGCGUAAAGCGUGCGCAGGCGGUUAUGUAAGACAGUUGUGAAAUCCCCGGGCUCAACCUGGGAAUUGCAUCUGUGACUGCAUAGCUAGAGUACGGUAGAGGGGGAUGGAAUUCCGCGUGUAGCAGUGAAAUGCGUAGAUAUGCGGAGGAACACCGAUGGCGAAGGCAAUCCCCUGGACCUGUACUGACGCUCAUGCACGAAAGCGUGGGGAGCAAACAGGAUUAGAUACCCUGGUAGUCCACGCCCUAAACGAUGUCAAGUGGUUGUUGGGUGCAUUAGUACUCAGUAACGAAG
RNAcentral lists this ribosomal RNA (496 nucleotides) under uncultured bacterium. Its description in RNAcentral is "bacterial SSU rRNA". It matches the Rfam family "Bacterial small subunit ribosomal RNA", at positions 362 to 851 of the family's 1533-position model. The record is from RNAcentral.